RNAcentral lists this ribosomal RNA (253 nucleotides) under uncultured bacterium. RNAcentral's name for it is "partial 16S ribosomal RNA". It matches the Rfam family "Bacterial small subunit ribosomal RNA", at positions 524 to 776 of the family's 1533-position model. The record is from RNAcentral.
UACGGGGGGGGCAAGCGUUGUUCGGAAUUACUGGGCGUAAAGAGUGCGUAGGCGGUUUUCUAAGUUUGGUGUGAAAUCUCCCGGCUCAACUGGGAGGGUGCGCCGAAGACUGGAAGGCUUGAGUAUGGGAGAGGUAAGCGGAAUUCCUGGUGUAGCGGUGAAAUGCGUAGAUAUCAGGAGGAACACCUGCGGUGUAGACGGCUUACUGGACCAUAACUGACGCUGAGGCACGAAAGCGUGGGGAGCAAACAGG